CAGACUGGACGCAUGCAAGCUACAGCGACAAUGGUGGCCUGUAAUAGAUUGUGUGAAGAGGUUAGAAAGUACCCUCAUUUGUACAACUCUGGCAUGAAAGAAUACAAAGAUAUUUACAUAAGUUGUAACUUGUAGCGAGAGAUUGCUCAAAACUGUGCAUGCGUCGAACGCCUGUGUACGCGUACGAGUCAAAUGAAGUAUACUUUGCAAGGCUGUGCGUUCGACUGUGUGCAUACACUAGUUUACGCAUAAAAAAAUGAAGUAGGGCUAGAGAGACAUUACAAAAGGUUGCUGAGGGUGGUUUUAAUGUUUCACAAAACCAAGAUGUGCUGUUGUUGUAAUGUUAGCUCUAGUAACAGUACAGUUUUGAGUGUAAUUUUUUGUCUGGAGCUGGCGACUAAAAACCAACUCUUGCUUGUAUAUACUCUUGUAUGUUCAUUGUUUGAUAUUUCUUGUCGUUUGUUUGUCAUUUUCGCUUUAUUUUUCGCUUUUGCAAUGAUGAAGAGACAUCAUUUGCAUGUUUAUGUCUUUUGUGGGUGGAGCAAUGAAGGAGUGUUUGUUUGGGUUGGUAUAAAAUAUCAACAGUGUUUCUCAGAAGACGCUUACUGCACCGUUAAAAUAGUUUUUCUCACUUUUUUUUUUUUUUUUUCACAUUUUUCUGUUUUUCACUUGUUUAAAAUAGUUGUUUAGUCACACAGUUCCAGGCGAAUGGGAUAUUAUUUGUCCAGUAAGCAGGCAGUGGGAAACCCAUGCGGAGGCUGGUGAUGAAAGCACUUCUAUAUUUAUCAGACUCAUUAACCCCUGUGGGUGUCUGAUAUAGAGAAACACGACCCAGCUGAUGCUGACCAAUGCAUGACACAGCUGGGCUUCUUCUGAGAGACGUGUGUGUGCGUGUGAGCCUCCAGCUUUCAUUGUGUUUAUGACUUCAUCUUUUAAUGUGUGCAGCCUGAAGGACGCUGACAAUGUUGUACAAUUGAAACGGAAGAAAUGUCCUUUCCAUAAGGAAAUGUGAGCGUGACUGCUGUGCAAAAGCCGCUUCAACAGCACACCGUCCUUAACAAGAUUUAUUUCAGGAAUCCUUCAUGUCUUACUCAUCAGAAUCCUCAAAACAAUAGAAGGGCUGAGAUGAUAUUGGAGCCUUUAAAAUGAAGUCACUGUUCAGAAGACGUCCGGAAUGUGGCAUCUUUCCCAUCGGUGUAGCAUGUUUCAGCUCAUUCAGAUGGCGUUUCGAGGGAAAUGAGUGCGUUAUUGUCUGAGAAAGCAUGUUUGUUUGCUCUUGGCUGAGGUCAAGUGGCAGUGAAAGUUUUAUGUAGGUCAAACCAAAUCCAAGACAUCAGGUGACGGUAAGACUUCCUGACAGGCCUCUCGCUUUCCCCCUGCUGGCCUGAGCAUGUCAACGCAGACCUCAAAGGCAUCAACCCAUUUAGAAAAAAAACUUUAAUUUUUAUGUAAAUAAAAACCCUAUUCAGAGAUAGCAGACAUACAGAAUAAUAAAUAUCACAAUAUUUCC
This is a long non-coding RNA of Megalobrama amblycephala (Wuchang bream), 1510 nucleotides long. RefSeq lists it as uncharacterized. The transcript has 2 exons. NCBI's taxonomy places the organism in Eukaryota, Metazoa, Chordata, Actinopteri, Cypriniformes, Xenocyprididae. The record is from RefSeq and is a predicted model, not a curated record.